Molecule: ribosomal RNA, 440 nt
Filed under: uncultured bacterium
Lineage: Bacteria
Description: partial 16S ribosomal RNA
Rfam family: Bacterial small subunit ribosomal RNA
Source: RNAcentral
CCUACGUGAGGCAGCAGUGGGGAAUAUUGCACAAUGGGGGAAACCCUGAUGCAGCGACGCCGCGUGAGUGAAGAAGUAAUUCGUUAUGUAAAGCUCUAUCAGCAGGGAAGAAAAUGACGGUACCUGAGUAAGAAGCCCCGGCUAACUACGUGCCAGCAGCCGCGGUAAUACGUAGGGGGCAAGCGUUAUCCGGAUUUACUGGGUGUAAAGGGAGCGUAGACGGCAGUGCAAGUCUGGAGUGAAAGGCGGGGGCUCAACCCCCGGACUGCUCUGGAAACUGUACGGCUGGAGUGCAGGAGAGGUAAGUGGAAUUCCUAGUGUAGCGGUGAAAUGCGUAGAUAUUAGGAGGAACACCAGUGGCGAAGGCAGCUUACUAACCUGUGACUGACAUUGAUGCUCGAAAGUGUGGGUAUCAAACAGGAUUAGAUACCCCGGUAGUC